RNAcentral lists this non-coding RNA (21 nucleotides) under Caenorhabditis elegans. Lineage: Eukaryota; Metazoa; Nematoda; Chromadorea; Rhabditida; Rhabditidae. The record is from RNAcentral.
UAGGGAAUAGCUUCAACACUA